AUGGAGAAAGAAAAUUUUGGUUACACUCGAACUCCAUUGAUAUUAUGAAAGCGUAAGAAAGAAUGGUUAUUUUAUAAAUAUCCAUAAUUGUUGAGGCCGCUAUCUAACUGGUAAAUUGGUAUAGCUAUUACGGAUUAUUUUUUAUCAGAACUGAACGUAGCAUUUCUUUUUUUUUCACGCAGAUUGUCAAAUUGGUCUUGUGGAGGUACGUCAGCUGCAGUUGUAUUUGAAGCAUUUAUUUGUGUUGAUCUCUUUCACUCGUAUUCCAACGCUAAUCGGUCGAUCCCGUUUAUUUCGCCAUACUUCACACAGAUGAAAUAUAAUGGAAUGGUAACAUUUGACAAAAGUGUCAAAUCACAACAAAGGUUGACUUGAAGAGAAUUUGUUUUGAGUGUGGAUUGCAUGAUUUGCAUUUAUUUUUCAGUCAGACAGUUAAUCAAAAAUCAAAUAAAAUGUUUCAGUUUGGAUUCAACAUGUUUCAUGAAAUCAGCAGGCCCUUUAACAUGACCUACAAGUGUUAUUCUGUCUCUAUGCUGCCUGGUAAUGAGAGACAAGAUGUAGAAAGAGGAGGAAAAAUUAUAAUGCCACCAUCAGCCCUGGAACAGCUAACAAGGCUGAAUAUUGAAUACCCGAUGAUAUUUAAGUUGACAAAUAAAAAAACUAAAAGGAUCACACAUUGUGGUGUACUGGAGUUUGUUGCUGAUGAAGGAAGAGUUUAUUUACCACAUUGGAUGAUGACCAAUCUAGUGGUGGAAGAAGGGGCCCUACUUCAAAUAGAGAGUGUGUCACUCCCCGUCGCCACAUUUUCAAAGUUCCAGCCUCUCUCUGAAGACUUCUUAGAUAUAACCAAUCCUAAAGCAGUACUAGAGAACUGUUUACGUAACUUCUCAUGCCUAACAACGGGGGAUGUGAUAGCUAUCAAGUACAAUUCCAAGGUGUACGAGUUGUGUGUGCUGGAGACCAAGCCGGGGAAUGCUGUCAUCAUUAUAGAGUGUGAUAUGAAUGUAGAAUUCGCGCCCCCCGUAGGUUACAAAGAAGAAGAGCGCAUACCUCGCGACGAUGGUGGCGCCGCCACUGGCAUGGACGAAGACCCUUCAAACAUGAUGCCAGAACCCAGCGGCUUCGUGGCAUUCAGUGGAGAAGGCAACCGGCUAGACGGCAAGAAAAAGAAGCUGAUCAGUGAAAGCGAUUCGGAACCCUCGGCUUCUCAGUCUAGACAGCCGUACGUCAGAGGCAUCCCGGACUACGACUACGUGAUAGGCACUCUCAGGUUCAUCAGGAACUCCCGGCCGCCCAGCGCCAAGGAGGAGACGCCCUCAGAACCCUUCACGGCUUUCAAGGGCGAGGGCUUCACGUUGAGAACUGCAAAGUCCAAGAACUGAGUAUAAGUAGUUAAUGUUAGAUUUUUUACUCGCCAUGUUGGAAGUGGGCGGAGCAGUCUUGUCGGUUUUUUUUAUGUGGUAACAUUUCUUUUUUCAAAUUAGGUAAUGCUGGUUACCUUCGAUAACCCGCGCAUUUCAUAACAGAUCUUUUGCGCAGAAAACUCAAUAGCCGAGAAAUCUAUGUCAUUUGUACUGUAAACAAGAUUUGCACCUUAAAAAUUAAUUGGUCAUAUGAAAUUAUUUUUUUUAAAUAAUAACUAUAUAGAUAGAGAACAGAAAACCAUAAUCCAAUUUUUAGGUAUGCCUUUAAAAUUAUUUAUCAGACCCAAAUAAUACUGUACGUACUUAAUUUUACAUGACUCAUUUCAGGGCUCGACUUUCAUUGUCACGUUAUCACUAGAUACGAUAUCGCUGCUUCGCCUACUAAACAACACACAAAAGAUAUCUAGAGUGUUUUAUAAAGUUGUGAUUGUCAAAUUAUUGAGCAUUGGAGCUUGGCGUUCGAAUGUACUUGCAGCAAACAGCAAAAGCUUGCAGAAAUGCUUUUCCCGCACAUUAAUUUAAACAAUUAUAACGUAGAAAAUAUUAAGUGAAAACACUGCACUUUUAUAAAGUUAAUUGUUUGUAAAGUAUAAGAGAUGUUGUCACACAAAUGUAAACCUCGCUCGUGGUUAGCCGCCGAAUACAUAGCCAGUUUAAUGCUUCUCUAAAAAUAUAUUAUCGACAAUGUCCGAUUGUUUUUAGGCAUGCUCAAUCAUUGGGUAAAAGACGCGCAGAUCAUAUGUAAAUUGUUACUAAGCCUUCCUAGUUGCCUAUCACAGCUUCACACGUCACUAUUAUUGGGCAAAAUGACUUCUGAAGAUGCAAAGCAGGAGUUUGUUCUAAUGAGUACCUAUGCUAAAAUUCGGCGGCUAAUUAUAUCUUUUUUCUUCUAUAUUAAUGCUCAUGGAAGCUCCUUUAAAGCCAUGUAUUCACUGGGAAACAAUAUUUCAGAUACACAGUUUCUGAAACAUCACGUAGAUGUUUACAGCAACAAUGUUUCAGAAACUGCCGACCACAUCGUCCACAGAAACAAAAUUAUAUGUUUCUGAAACAAAAUUAUUUGUUUCAGAAACACGUAGAUAUUGUUUCUGAAACAGUGUUUAUAAACAAUUGUUUCUCAGUGAAUACAUGGCUUAAGACAGCUAUGAAAACCUGCAACAAUUAUUCCAUUUUUUUAUAUCAAGUUGAAUAUAGAAUUCAUGAUUGUUAA
RNAcentral lists this unclassified non-coding RNA (2634 nucleotides) under Helicoverpa zea (corn earworm). Its description in RNAcentral is "ubiquitin recognition factor in ER-associated degradation protein 1, transcript variant X1". Lineage: Eukaryota; Metazoa; Arthropoda; Insecta; Lepidoptera; Noctuidae. The record is from RNAcentral.